UACGUAGGGGGCCAGCGUUGUCCGGAUUUACUGGGCGUAAAGAGCGCGUAGGCGGUUUUGUAAGCGGAGGGUGAAAUCCCGGGGCUCAACUCCGGGGCUGCUUUCCGAACUGCGAGACUAGAGUACGGGAGAGGGUAGUGGAAUUCCUGGUGUAGCGGUGGAAUGCGUAAAUAUCAGGAGGAACACCCGUGGCGAAGGCUGCUACCUGGAACGUUACUGACGCUGAGGCGCGAAAGCUAGGGGAGCGAACGGG
RNAcentral lists this ribosomal RNA (253 nucleotides) under uncultured bacterium. RNAcentral's name for it is "partial 16S ribosomal RNA". It matches the Rfam family "Bacterial small subunit ribosomal RNA", at positions 524 to 776 of the family's 1533-position model. The record is from RNAcentral.